This 478-nucleotide ribosomal RNA is filed under the name uncultured bacterium. RNAcentral's name for it is "partial 16S ribosomal RNA". It matches the Rfam family "Bacterial small subunit ribosomal RNA", at positions 28 to 523 of the family's 1533-position model. The record is from RNAcentral.
GACGAACGCUGGCGGCGUGCUUAACACAUGCAAGUCGAACGGAAAGGCCCUUCGGGGUACUCGAGUGGCGAACGGGUGAGUAACACGUGGGUGAUCUGCCCUGCACUUUGGGAUAAGCCUGGGAAACUGGGUCUAAUACCGAAUAGGACCACGCGCUUCAUGGUGUGGGGUGGAAAGCUUUUGCGGUGUGGGAUGGGCCCGCGGCCUAUCAGCUUGUUGGUGGGGUAAUGGCCUACCAAGGCGACGACGGGUAGCCGGCCUGAGAGGGUGACCGGCCAGACUGGGACUGAGAUACGGCCCAGACUGCUAAGGGAGGCAGCAGUGGGGAAUAUGGCACAAUGGGCGCAAGCCUGAUGCAGCGACGCCGCGUGAGGGAUGACGGCCUUCGGGUUGUAAACCUCUUUCAAUAGGGACGAAGCGCAAGUGACGGUACCUAUAGAAGAAGCACCGGCCAACUACGUGCCAGCAGCCGCCGCGG